Molecule: small nuclear RNA, 107 nt
Organism: Pipistrellus kuhlii (Kuhl's pipistrelle)
Lineage: Eukaryota; Metazoa; Chordata; Mammalia; Chiroptera; Vespertilionidae
Source: RefSeq, a predicted model, not a curated record
GUGCUCGAUUCAGCAGCACAUAUACUGAAAUUGGAACGAUACAAAGAAGAUUAGCAUGGCCCCUGUGCGAAGAUGACAUGCAAAUUCGUGAAGCAUUCCAUAUUAAA